UGUUUUUUCUCCUACAAUGUUCGUCUUCAAAGUCGAAGCUUCCUAGUCGCCAUCACGUGUGGUUGACCGUUCGGCUAUCGCUGACACAUGCCUCGACGCUAGUUUGCGGUGAGGGCUUCAUGGUGGUCCUUGAUGGUCGAGUCAGAGCUGCUUGCUCGCGAGGAGUGAUGACGAUGCAUCAGAUGGCAACCUCGGCGGUGCUUCUCUUCUUGACAGCGUGUGUGCAUUUUUGUGUGGGCGUCCAGGUCGUUCAGAAUGCCUUGUUUCUACACUCGUGUUGUAACGUUUUUUGCCCUUUUUUUUUUUUGCAAAUUGACGAGGCAACUCUUUUCUUCUUUUUUCAAGAAAUCAAGAUCAUCAGAGGCCGAGUUUCGAAAAAAAAA
This 383-nucleotide long non-coding RNA is filed under the name Hordeum vulgare. Its description in RNAcentral is "long non-coding RNA (HVUL_LNC013692)". Lineage: Eukaryota; Viridiplantae; Streptophyta; Magnoliopsida; Poales; Poaceae. The record is from RNAcentral.